This 468-nucleotide ribosomal RNA is filed under the name uncultured bacterium. Its description in RNAcentral is "partial 16S ribosomal RNA". It matches the Rfam family "Bacterial small subunit ribosomal RNA", at positions 28 to 507 of the family's 1533-position model. The record is from RNAcentral.
GACGAACGCUGGCGGCGUGCUUAACACAUGCAAGUCGAACGGAAAGGCCCUGCGUUUGUGGGGUGCUCGAGUGGCGAACGGGUGAGUAACACGUGAGUAACCUGCCCUUGACUUUGGGAUAACUUCAGGAAACUGGGGCUAAUACCGGAUAGGAGCUCCUGCUGCAUGGUGGGGGUUGGAGAGUUUCGGCGGUUGGGGCUGGACUCGCGGCUUAUCAGCUUGUUGGUGGGGUAGUGGCUUACCAAGGCUUUGACGGGUAGCCGGCCUGAGAGGGUGACCGGCCACAUUAGGACUGAGAUACGGCGCAGUCUCCAACGGUAGGCAGCAGUGGGGAAUAUGGCACAAUGGGCGGACGCCUGAUGCAGCAACGCCGCGUGCGGAAUGACGGCCUUCGGGUUGUAAACCGCUUUCGCCUGAGACGCAGCGUGAGUGACGGUAAUGGGUAAAGAAGCACCGGCUAACUACGUG